RNAcentral lists this long non-coding RNA (2230 nucleotides) under Cyanistes caeruleus (blue tit). RNAcentral describes it as "lncRNA (ENSCCEG00000022770.1)". Lineage: Eukaryota; Metazoa; Chordata; Aves; Passeriformes; Paridae. The record is from RNAcentral.
CUACAUUAUGGUAAAAGAGUUUUUGUUCCAAAUGUUGCCAUCCUCCCAGUGUCUUUCAUUUCUCCUUGUGAUUCCUGAUUAUGGGAUCACUUUUAGACAUUUACUGAAGUAAAAAUGUAAGGGAGGCACUAUUUUUGUUACACAUUGCUGGAAGUUGCUUCAUUGUUUGGAUGGAAUUUGCCUAAUAUUUCUCAGCAGUAUAAACAUUUGAACAAAUAUUUAUAGUUUCAAAUAACUCAGAAUCAUUUAGCUAAUAGAAGAAGAACUUCUUACCAGAAAAAGUUGAUUCUUUCCCAGAAGCUUGCGGCAAGGAAUGUUACAGAUUCCUGAAACACACGUUGGAGAUGCACGAUCAUCACUUGUGCUGCAGGGGCCUUAUGGAGACUGGAAUUAGUGAAUUAAGUCCUUUUUGUCCAUGCUUACACUCUUUGGAUUGUUUCCUAGUUUCAAGAGGAGUAGUAAAUGCACAUUCCUCUAAUUAUGCACCCAUGUCUUUGAAGCUGUCAUUUUUUCAAAAAAUAUAACCUACAGGCCAAAGACGAGAUAAAUAGAAAAAGCUGUUAUUUUAAUCAAGGAAUUUCUGUUUGACUUGAUAUUUUGAAAGGGAAGGAAAGUGAAAAGAAACAUGUAUGUAUCAAAUAUGUAUCAAGCUUUCUCUUUUAUUGAAAAUCAAACCCCAGUUUUGUCACUUGGGAAAAAGAAUGUGGUGAAAGUUUUUGCUUUUCCUUUAGCUAACAAAGUAUUUAUCUGUAUUGUUUGUGUGUAACCAAACAUGUGCCAGACAAAGGAUCAGACACAAAGUAAGGUACCUAUCACUUCCUGUUUUCUACAUAUUCCCAUAAUUUUUAACAGUGGAGUGUUUUUCAGAACAGAAGUUUUCUGAGUGCCCUUGAUGAAGGGUAAAUAUUUGACUAAGAGGUUGUUUCUCUUAGUGUGGGUGGGAUGUAAGAAAGUUCACAUUUGGGAGUGGAUAAAAAAUCCAAAAGGGCCAGUCAUCAGUAAUUUGGGCAGAGCAUGGAGAUUGGGAGGAGGAAGCUCCAGCUCUUCCCUGAGAAAUCAGUGGGUGGGGAGAUGGUGUUGCUGCCUGAAAACCAUGCCUUUUGAUCAAUGGCCCAGGAAUCAAGACAGCUGGGGCCAAUUCUAUGCCAGCUUGUACCUGAACAUGUCUGGUCAAGGCACACUACCUGCAAACUUCACAGCAGUCAUGGGAAGCUGGCUUGUAAUCUCCCCAUUCCUCGCGUGCUGUUUGUCUCCAGAGGCAAAGUUGAGGUUUCUGUAGUAUGUACAAUCAACAGUCAGAUGAGAGCUCCUGAGUAUUUAGCCUGUUCAAAUAUCCCAUGACAUUUCUUUCCUGAACUGUGUAAAUGAAAAGUCAACAUCCAAUAUUUCUUCACCCUGCCGAAAAGUGCUGAUGUUUGCCAAGCACUCUGCAUCAUCCUAGCUGAGCUCUCCAGGAGAAAUCAGUGUGGCUCGAUGCCCUAAUGUGGCCACAGUGCAGGGCACCCAGAGAGUAUGGCUGCUGUAGGAUGGGAUUGUGCCCAGACUAACUACAAUGUCCUCUCUGCAGCACUACUUGCAAGGUGCUGUUGCACGGUUUCAGUUCUGGAACUGGUUUGGCAGUAGGCUAAAAAACCUAAAUAUUGACUCCACUGAACACAUAAAUACGUCUCAGACCUCUGCGAAGGUCAUUUGUAGACACUGAGUUCAGACUGUGGCCUAGCCUACAUCCUAACUGGAGCCAUGGUGUGUAUUUACACCCCUUUAGUUUUCCUCUUCUUGAGUGAUCAUCUCCUAAUAUUCACAGCGCUCCUCUUUUCCUGUGCUCUGGCCUUACUCCACUGCCUUUGCUCAGGAAGCCCCAUCUUGCCAAGGAGAAGACUCACCACUGUUGUGUCCAAAGUCAUCAGGUCCUUAACCUAGUCCAGUGGACAGGGAAGAUACUUAUCAUUCCCUUCUGGGAGCUCAAGAUACCAGAGUUCUUGUCCUGAUAUAACCCAUCUGUCAGCAGAGGUCACAGUGUACUGGUUAAGUUCAGAAAAUGAGUUUAGGGAAAGAAUUCAAAUAAGCUCUUUUGUAAGCUGCCUCUUCAAUUAGCAGAGAAAAAAAGAUAUUUUUGUAGGAGUGCUGUGGUAUGUUGUUACCUUCUGAACACCUUCUGGAAAAGCCGGUCCCUCGCUGUUGAUUGUGAAGGACUAAAAACUAAAAAUAAAGGUUUUACAGAGAGGCUGCA